Molecule: ribosomal RNA, 236 nt
Filed under: uncultured Staphylococcus sp.
Lineage: Bacteria; Bacillati; Bacillota; Bacilli; Caryophanales; Staphylococcaceae
Description: partial 16S ribosomal RNA
Rfam family: Bacterial small subunit ribosomal RNA
Source: RNAcentral
GGGUGAGUAACACGUGGAUAACCUACCUAUAAGACUGGGAUAACUUCUGGAAACCGGAGCUAAUACCGGAUAAUAUAUUGAACCGCAUGGUUCAAUAGUGAAAGACGGUUUUGCUGUCACUUAUAGAUGGAUCCGCGCCGCAUUAGCUAGUUGGUAAGGUAACGGCUUACCAAGGCAACGAUGCGUAGCCGACCUGAGAGGGUGAUCGGCCACACUGGAACUGAGACACGGUCCAG